CCUCCUCCUCCACCAGAGUCCAGAAUGCAUCUCUCUCGCCCCCCUCUUCCCCCUUACCACCCCCCUUGAUCUACUCCCUCCUCCACCACAAUUCAUAGAUGCGACCCCCUCCCCCCAAGCUUCAUCGGGGAUGGUGGGUGAUGAUGGCCCUUGGUAUGACGGGUUAAUCGAAGAGUUCGACAGAGAGCACUGUGCUCGUGCCAUUGAGAAUCGGAAGCUAAGAAAUUUGACUUAUCAAUUAUUCGUGUUUUUAUGUGUGUUUAUCGUAUUAUUUGAUGGUGGAUGAUGAUGGCCCUUGGUAUGACAGGUUAUUUGACUUAUCAAUGAUAUGAAGCUCACAUUCUUUUCAGCAUGUAGUAGCUAUGCGCUUGAGGGGUCAUGGUGUGAAUGACUUUCCGUACGACGUGCGAUACGAGUCGUACAUUGCAAGAUUGGGUCUUCUCCCCUUUGUGUUGCAAUUCAAGCGAACCCCACCACCGGUGAACCAUGCAACGCUCACCGCACUUACGGAUCAUUGGAGGCCCGAGACACACUCUUUCCACCUUGCCUGUGGGGAGGACAUGGCCAUGAUAAGCGGCCUUCCUAUCAACGGCUUUGCUCUUACUGGUCAUGUUAGUGUCUUUAACUCGCGAGACCAGGUUGGCUUUUUUAAUUGGUGUUCAGCCCCUCCCCCUCUACCAGGCAAGGCUGAUAGCUCUAAAGUGAAGCAUUCCUGGCUAAAAGAAGCCAGAGGACAAAAUUCGUGCCCUGCGGAUGCCGAUGAGAUGGUUGUGCAGCAGUAUGCUCGGGCCUAUCUUUGGUAUGUACUAAAGAAAGUUGUCUUCACAUAGGCAACCGAGAAUUCAGCCAUCUGGAUGUAUUUGGAGCUACCUAUGGACUGGGAUACUCAGUAUAGCUGGGGUUCAGCAGCACUAGCAUACUUGUAUCGUCAAUAGGACCAGGCGUCAACGAGGACAAAAGACACAUCUUCAUUUUGCGGGUUUGUGUGGAGCCUCUGUGUGUGGACGUGGGAGCGGUUACCGGUUGGACGACCCAUGUUAAAGGACCCUGAUAACCCAAACCCCAAUCCGCAUGAAGGUCUUCAUGAUCAAGAUCCAUAUCGGCGCCCCACAAUUGCCUAUUGUUGGGAUCAGGUGUCUGUUUACACCGGAAGCUCUGAUGUGCGAUACAAGUGUUAUGUGAACGAGCUCGACACCUUAACUGCUGAGCAGGUUUUCUGGCGGCCUUAUGAGAUUGAUCGUGAUUUUGACCUCAACGAGAUGUGCACGUGUGAUAAUCUUCUUUGGUGGGCGAGGUGUCCAAUGAUAUGCUUUUAAGCUGUCAAGUAUCACUUUGUAGACCAUGUAGCCAGGCAAUAUGGGACACGACAAGGUAUUCCAAUUGAGGAGAACAAGGGGGUAAUCACAAAUCUGCAUCAAUGAGAAAAAAUAUCUAGGAGAUUUGUACUAUAGCAUUGUGAAAGUCUAUGUUUGCUAAUGGUUUAAAACGAGCAUCGUUUGGAGGUUCAGUCGAAGGAACAAUCAGGAUAUAUCGGAUUGGGCAAACAAACACUAUCACUGGAUAGCAAUGUGGAAUCAGAGAGAGACAUUAGUGGACUCAUAGAAUAGACCCCACAAUGAUUCAGCCUACCAGAAAUAUCUUGUGUGGUAUGGGCAGCGUUACCAGUUGAAGCUUAAGCCCGGUUGGACUCAGGAGGAGUGGUCCGAGUUGGUGUCGGAACACCCAUCAGCUGCAAAAGGUUAUCAUGCCUUGAACAUGGUUGUGUGAGAGACCGUAGGGAGUCGAGUUGACUAUGCACCCACGCAUGAC
Long non-coding RNA from Hordeum vulgare subsp. vulgare (domesticated barley), 1809 nucleotides. RefSeq lists it as uncharacterized. The transcript is spliced from 4 exons. The record is from RefSeq and is a predicted model, not a curated record. NCBI's taxonomy places the organism in Eukaryota, Viridiplantae, Streptophyta, Magnoliopsida, Poales, Poaceae.